UGACGAGCGGCGGACGGGUGAGUAAUGUCUGGGAAACUGCCUGAUGGAGGGGGAUAACUACUGGAAACGGUAGCUAAUACCGCAUGACGUCGCAAGACCAAAGUGGGGGACCUUCGGGCCUCACGCCAUCGGAUGUGCCCAGAUGGGAUUAGCUAGUAGGUGAGGUAAUGGCUCACCUAGGCGACGAUCCCUAGCUGGUCUGAGAGGAUGACCAGCCACACUGGAACUGAGACACGGUCCAGACUCCUACGGGAGGCAGCAGUGGGGAAUAUUGCACAAUGGGCGCAAGCCUGAUGCAGCCAUGCCGCGUGUGUGAAGAAGGCCUUAGGGUUGUAAAGCACUUUCAGCGAGGAGGAAGGCGUUGCAGUUAAUAGCUGCAACGAUUGACGUUACUCGCAGAAGAAGCACCGGCUAACUCCGUGCCAGCAGCCGCGGUAAUACGGAGGGUGCAAGCGUUAAUCGGAAUUACUGGGCGUAAAGCGCACGCAGGCGGUUUGUUAAGUCAGAUGUGAAAUCCCCGAGCUUAACUUGGGAACUGCAUUUGAAACUGGCAAGCUAGAGUCUUGUAGAGGGGGGUAGAAUUCCAGGUGUAGCGGUGAAAUGCGUAGAGAUCUGGAGGAAUACCGGUGGCGAAGGCGGCCCCCUGGACAAAGACUGACGCUCAGGUGCGAAAGCGUGGGGAGCAAACAGGAUUAGAUACCCUG
Molecule: ribosomal RNA, 704 nt
Filed under: Serratia sp. EECC-600
Lineage: Bacteria; Pseudomonadati; Pseudomonadota; Gammaproteobacteria; Enterobacterales; Yersiniaceae
Description: bacterial SSU rRNA
Rfam family: Bacterial small subunit ribosomal RNA
Source: RNAcentral